Molecule: transfer RNA, 69 nt
Filed under: Ictidomys tridecemlineatus (thirteen-lined ground squirrel)
Lineage: Eukaryota; Metazoa; Chordata; Mammalia; Rodentia; Sciuridae
Description: Spermophilus tridecemlineatus (thirteen-lined ground squirrel) tRNA
Rfam family: tRNA
About the family: Transfer RNA (tRNA) molecules are approximately 80 nucleotides in length. Their secondary structure includes four short double-helical elements and three loops (D, anti-codon, and T loops).
Source: Rfam by way of RNAcentral
GGGUUUGUGGCUCAGUGGUAGAGUGCUUGUUUCACAUGUAUGAGGCACUGAGUUCAAUUCUCAGCACCA